This 253-nucleotide ribosomal RNA is filed under the name uncultured bacterium. Its description in RNAcentral is "partial 16S ribosomal RNA". It matches the Rfam family "Bacterial small subunit ribosomal RNA", at positions 524 to 776 of the family's 1533-position model. The record is from RNAcentral.
UACGUAGGGGGCAAGCGUUGUCCGGAAUCAUUGGGCGUAAAGAGCGUGUAGGCGGCUCGGCAAGUCCGCUGUGAAAGUCCAGGGCUCAACCCUGGAAUGCCGGUGGAAACUGUCGAGCUAGAGUCCGGAAGAGGCGAGUGGAAUUCCUGGUGUAGCGGUGAAAUGCGCAGAUAUCUGGAGGAACACCGGUGGCGAAGGCGGCAUCCUGGACCAAAACUGACGCUGAGGAGCGAAAGCAAGGGGAGCAAACGGG